UACGUAGGUGGCAAGCGUUGUCCGGAUUUAUUGGGCGUAAAGAGCGUGUAGGCGGCCAGACAGGUCCGUUGUGAAAACUCGAGGCUCAACCUCGAGACGUCGAUGGAAACCGUCUGGCUAGAGUCCGGAAGAGGAGUGUGGAAUUCCUGGUGUAGCGGUGAAAUGCGCAGAUAUCAGGAAGAACACCUAUGGCGAAGGCAGCACUCUGGGACGGUACUGACGCUGAGACGCGAAAGCGUGGGGAGCGAACAGG
This 253-nucleotide ribosomal RNA is filed under the name uncultured bacterium. RNAcentral describes it as "partial 16S ribosomal RNA". It matches the Rfam family "Bacterial small subunit ribosomal RNA", at positions 524 to 776 of the family's 1533-position model. The record is from RNAcentral.